This 465-nucleotide ribosomal RNA is filed under the name uncultured bacterium. Its description in RNAcentral is "partial 16S ribosomal RNA". It matches the Rfam family "Bacterial small subunit ribosomal RNA", at positions 28 to 507 of the family's 1533-position model. The record is from RNAcentral.
GACGAACGCUGGCGGCGUGCUUAACACAUGCAAGUCGAACGGAAAGGCCCUGCUUGCAGGGUACUCGAGUGGCGAACGGGUGAGUAACACGUGGGUGAUCUGCCCUGCACUUCGGGAUAAGCCUGGGAAACUGGGUCUAAUACCGGAUAGGAGCCAUUUUUAGUGUGAUGGUUGGAAAGUUUUUUCGGUGUAGGAUGAGCUCGCGGCCUAUCAGCUUGUUGGUGGGGUAAUGGCCUACCAAGGCGGCGACGGGUAGCCGGCCUGAGAGGGUGGACGGCCACAUUGGGACUGAGAGACGGCCCCGACUCCUACGGGUGGCAGCAGUGGGGAAUCUUGCACAAGGGGCGCCGGCCUGAUGCAGCGACGCCGCGUGGGGGAUGACGGCCUUCGGGUUGUAAACUCCUUUCGCUAGGGACGAAGCUUUUUGUGACGGUACCUAGAUAAGAAGCACCGGCUAACUACGUG